CUACCUAUAAGACUGGGAUAACUUCGGGAAACCGGAGCUAAUACCGGAUAAUAUUUCGAACCGCAUGGUUCGAUAGUGAAAGAUGGUUUUGCUAUCACUUAUAGAUGGACCCGCGCCGUAUUAGCUAGUUGGUAAGGUAACGGCUUACCAAGGCGACGAUACGUAGCCGACCUGAGAGGGUGAUCGGCCACACUGGAACUGAGACACGGUCCAGACUCCUACGGGAGGCAGCAGUAGGGAAUCUUCCGCAAUGGGCGAAAGCCUGACGGAGCAACGCCGCGUGAGUGAUGAAGGUCUUCGGAUCGUAAAACUCUGUUAUUAGGGAAGAACAUACGUGUAAGUAACUAUGCACGUCUUGACGGUACCUAAUCAGAAAGCCACGGCUAACUACGUGCCAGCAGCCGCGGUAAUACGUAGGUGGCAAGCGUUAUCCGGAAUUAUUGGGCGUAAAGCGCGCGUAGGCGGUUUUUUAAGUCUGAUGUGAAAGCCCACGGCUCAACCGUGGAGGGUCAUUGGAAACUGUAAAACUUGAGUGCAGAAGAGGAAAGUGGAAUUCNNUGUGUAGCGGUGAAAUGCGCAGAGAUAUGGAGGAACACCAGUGGCGAAGGCGACUUUCUGGUCUGUAACUGACGCUGAUGUGCGAAAGCGUGGGGAUCAAACAGGAUUAGAUACCCUGGUAGUCCACGCCGUAAACGAUGAGUGCUAAGUGUUAGGGGGUUUCCGCCCCUUAGUGCUGCAGCUAACGCAUUAAGCACUCCGCCUGGGGGAGUACGACCGCAAG
This 781-nucleotide ribosomal RNA is filed under the name Staphylococcus haemolyticus. RNAcentral's name for it is "bacterial SSU rRNA". It matches the Rfam family "Bacterial small subunit ribosomal RNA", at positions 126 to 892 of the family's 1533-position model. The record is from RNAcentral. Lineage: Bacteria; Bacillati; Bacillota; Bacilli; Caryophanales; Staphylococcaceae.